This 234-nucleotide ribosomal RNA is filed under the name Bacillus subtilis. Its description in RNAcentral is "partial 16S ribosomal RNA". It matches the Rfam family "Bacterial small subunit ribosomal RNA", at positions 74 to 300 of the family's 1533-position model. RNAcentral also lists the same sequence under 1 other name. The record is from RNAcentral. Lineage: Bacteria; Bacillati; Bacillota; Bacilli; Caryophanales; Bacillaceae.
GGGAGCUUGCUCCCUGAUGUUAGCGGCGGACGGGUGAGUAACACGUGGGUAACCUGCCUGUAAGACUGGGAUAACUCCGGGAAACCGGGGCUAAUACCGGAUGCUUGUUUGAACCGCAUGGUUCAAAUAUAAAAGGUGGCUUCGGCUACCACUUACAGAUGGACCCGCGGCGCAUUAGCUAGUUGGUGAGGUAACGGCUCACCAAGGCAACGAUGCGUAGCCGACCUGAGAGGG